This is a long non-coding RNA of Brassica napus (rape), 1726 nucleotides long. RefSeq lists it as uncharacterized. The transcript has 2 exons. The record is from RefSeq and is a predicted model, not a curated record. Lineage: Eukaryota; Viridiplantae; Streptophyta; Magnoliopsida; Brassicales; Brassicaceae.
AAUUAUGUGAGCGGGAAUAUAAAGUCACAGAUACGGCCAACACUUAGCGAAAAAUUAGAUUUAAGCGCCAAAGAUAUUUUUUAAGCGGCUUCAACAAUGCUAUCAAAGACAUAUAAUAGCAUUUUUAUAACGCUAAGAAAAGCUCUUUGAACCCCUAAACUCUAAACAUGGUUUUAAACUCUAAACAUUGUUUUAAACCCAAAACUUUAAAGACAACCUUUAAACCUCUAAUCUUUUCAUACUAUAACUUCAAAUCUUAAAAUUAAAAUCAAAAUUUAAUCUUUUUAAUCUUAAUCUAUAAUUUCCUAAACACAUAUCUUUAAUCUUUAAUCAAACUCUAUAUCUUAAAUCUAAACUUCAAAUGUAAACUAAACAUUCAAUACUCUAAAUAUAAACUUCAAAUCUAAAUUAUUAAAUAUUUAACUACAAAUCGUCUAGUAUUCAAAUCUAUUAUUUUCUAAUCUUAAUCCAAAACACUAAAUUUUAACCCUAAACCUCAUAUUUCAACAUCAACACCUUAAAUCAUAAAACUAAAUUUACUCUUAAUCGUAUUUUUUGUAAAUCAUAAAAUAUAAAUUUAAAACUUUUGAAAUUUUGAAUCAAACAUACAAAUUUAUAAAAGAAUUAUAAAUCAGAUUUUUUAUAAACAUGCAAAUUUAAAAAUGAUGACCAAAAUCAUAAUGUUGAUAUUAAUCUAAUAUUUUCAAACUUAAACAUCAAUUCAUAAAAUAAAUAUCAGUUUAUUAGGUUCAAAAAAUAAAAAAAAAAUAGACUUAAAUUAUAAACUACAAAAUAUUAAUUUUGAAAUAAGAUAUAACUAAUAAAAAUCACUUACAAAACAAAUUAUCAAAUAUGGAAAGACAAAACAAAAAUAAAAAUAGAAAAGCAAAAACAAAAUUGUCUGGCCAAUCAGAUUAAAAUACAUGGAUCACACUUUUGAACCGUUAGAUUAACUUAGAUCUGAAGGUUAAGAUUUAUUCCUUUUAAUUUUAAUUUUUAUUUUCUCCUCUCUCUCUCUUUCUCACAAACUCCACGAGAUCUGGUCUUCUUGUUCUUCUCCUUCAUUCUCACCUCUCCAAGCUUACUGUUUCUCUCAUCUCUCCUAUCUCUCUCCACGCCUCUCUCAUCUCUCUCUCAUCGCGUCUCCUCCUCGUCUCACCACCACCAGGGUCGCCCUCUCACCCCCACCACGGUCGCCCUCCCACCACCACCACGGUCGCACUCCCACCACCAUCACGAUAGUUGGGGAGGCAAGGUUCAUGGUGGCUGGAGGAGGCAAGGUCCAUGGCGGCUUGAGGACGGAAGUCUCGUGGCAGCUGGAGGAGGCAAGGCUCAUGGCUGUUGGAAGAGGGGCAAGGUUAUGGAGGAGGCGGCUGCAGUCUUUUCUUUUUUUUUUUUAGGUUUAGAUUUGGUUUAGUAUAAACCCAUGUUCGAAACUACGCUAGGCGUAACGCGUGCGGUUGGAUAGGGCCUAGCGCCGAAUCAAUUAAUCGGAGAUUAUACGGGGAUUAAUCGGGGCGUAAUUUUAGAUUAUUUAUAUACAUUUAUGGGUUUAUAUUUUAAAUAUGUAAACUAGACAAUAAUCUCGCAUGGUUCAGUGGCUAGACGCAUUUAUUACUCCUUACAGGUCAUGAGUUUGAGUAAAGGAGAGCUCUUUUUAUUCCAUUUUGUAACGUUUUAGGUUAAAUGAAAGCAAAAUGAUGAAAAUAACCCCGUCUCCUACCUU